This is a small nucleolar RNA of Syzygium oleosum, 139 nucleotides long. RefSeq annotates it as small nucleolar RNA snoR111. NCBI's taxonomy places the organism in Eukaryota, Viridiplantae, Streptophyta, Magnoliopsida, Myrtales, Myrtaceae. The record is from RefSeq and is a predicted model, not a curated record. The transcript has a single exon.
UCCAUGAAAUGAGAAUCUGAGAUAAAAAGUGCUUCCAUUGCGAAGAACAACAAGGGCAAAUCUAACCAAAAGUGGCCAAGAAAUCGUUUCAUUUGUCAUUUUUGUCUGGAUUGGCAGUAUGAUUGUUGCUCGUCUACAU